RNAcentral lists this ribosomal RNA (460 nucleotides) under uncultured bacterium. RNAcentral describes it as "partial 16S ribosomal RNA". It matches the Rfam family "Bacterial small subunit ribosomal RNA", at positions 338 to 795 of the family's 1533-position model. The record is from RNAcentral.
CCUACGGGAGGCAGCAGUGAGGAAUAUUGGUCAAUGGACGAGAGUCUGAACCAGCCAAGUCGCGUGAAGGAUGACUGCCCUAUGGGUUGUAAACUUCUUUUAUAUGGGAAUAAAAUGUUCCACGUGUGGGAUUUUGUAUGUACCCUAUGAAUAAGGAUCGGCUAACUCCGUGCCAGCAGCCGCGGUAAUACGGGGGAUCCGAGCGUUAUCCGGAUUUAUUGGGUUUAAAGGGAGCGUAGGGGGAUUUUUAAGUCCGGUGUGAAAGUUUGCGGCUCAACCGUAAAAUUGCAGUUGAAACUGGCAGUCUUGAGUACAGUAGAGGUGGGCGGAAUUCGUGGUGUAGCGGUGAAAUGCUUAGAUAUCACGCAGAACUCCGAUUGCGAAGGCAGUUCACUGGACUGCAACUGACACUGAGGCUCGAAAGUGUGGGUAUCAAACAGGAUUAGAUACCCUUGUAGUC